Molecule: small nucleolar RNA, 139 nt
Organism: Otolemur garnettii (small-eared galago)
Lineage: Eukaryota; Metazoa; Chordata; Mammalia; Primates; Galagidae
Gene: U8
Rfam family: U8 small nucleolar RNA
About the family: U8 is a member of the C/D class of snoRNA which contain the C (UGAUGA) and D (CUGA) box motifs. U8 is the RNA component of a small complex (the U8 snoRNP) which is required for accumulation of mature large subunit ribosomal RNAs, 5.8S and 28S rRNAs.
Source: Ensembl
UCAUCAGGUGGGAUAAUCCUUACCUGUUUCUCCUUCUGGAGAACAGAUUAGAAAAUGAUGAUUUGGAGCUCGCAUGAAACGUGAUUAUGCGUCUCUGCGUAGCCAGGACUUGCAACACCCUGGUUCGCUCCUGUCUGAU